RNAcentral lists this ribosomal RNA (575 nucleotides) under uncultured fungus. RNAcentral describes it as "eukaryotic LSU rRNA". The stretch from base 199 to 352 matches the Rfam family "5.8S ribosomal RNA". Lineage: Eukaryota; Fungi. The record is from RNAcentral.
GGAAGUAAAAGUCGUAACAAGGUCUCCGUUGGUGAACCAGCGGAGGGAUCAUUACCGAGUUCUCGAACUCCCAAACCCCUGUGAACAUACCCGUCGUUGCUUCGGCGGCCGCCCCCCGGGGCCGUCCGCCGGAGGCCUACAAACCCACUGUAUCUUGGUUACCGUAUACUCUGAGUGGCACAAGCAAAAAUAAAUCAAAACUUUCAACAACGGAUCUCUUGGUUCUGGCAUCGAUGAAGAACGCAGCGAAAUGCGAUAAGUAAUGCGAAUUGCAGAAUUCAGCGAGUCAUCGAAUCUUUGAACGCACAUUGCGCCCGCCAGCAUUCUGGCGGGCAUGCCUGUUCGAGCGUCACUUCAACCCUCGCGCCCAUCCGGGCAGCGGUGUUGGGGGCCGGCACUGACCCGCCGCCCCCGAAAUACAGUGGCGGCCCCGCUGCAGCCUCCCCUGCGUAGUAGCAACACCUCGCACCGGAGCUCGGCGGCGGCCACGCCGUAAAACCCCCGACCCCCCAUGAGUUUGACCUCGGAUCAGGUAGGACUACCCGCUGAACUUAAGCAUAUCAAUAAGCGGAGGA